UCAUUAGCCUUAUGCAGCUCUCAAAGCUAGAGAAUAUCUUGAUAAGCCUGCAAUACAUGAGACAAUGGUGAAGGUUAGCGCUUAUCUGCUUGGAGAAUACAGCCAUCUUUUGGCCAGACGACCUGGGUGUAGCCCAAAGGACAUUUUUGUCAUUAUACAUGAGAAGCUUCCUACUGUAUCGACUCCAACAAUAUCCAUUCUUCUCUCAACAUACGCAAAGAUUUUGAUGCACUCUCAACCACCAGAUCCCGAAUUACAAAACCAGAUCUGGGCAAUAUUCAACA
This is a long non-coding RNA of Lactuca sativa (garden lettuce), 284 nucleotides long. RefSeq lists it as uncharacterized. Lineage: Eukaryota; Viridiplantae; Streptophyta; Magnoliopsida; Asterales; Asteraceae. The record is from RefSeq and is a predicted model, not a curated record.